CAGAAGAUAGUUUAUAAAAAUAAUAAUUUUGGAGAUUAUAGAUAAGAAUAUUUCUUUCUUCUGA
Molecule: transfer RNA, 64 nt
Filed under: Bostrichoidea sp. 4 KM-2017
Lineage: Eukaryota; Metazoa; Arthropoda; Insecta; Coleoptera
Description: tRNA-Pro
Source: RNAcentral